GGGGAUAUAAUGGUUUCGACAUGUGUAGGAUGCUAAACAUGGCAGUAGUGUGGAAGACUAUAAUUUCUACUAGGCUUUCUUAAACGGAAAAUCAAAUAAAUUUGCAUCAUUUAUGUAUGCACAAAACUCAAAUCUUGCAUUUGCAUAAUUAAUUAGCAACAAGUUGUUUUUAUUACAUUCCUUAGGUAUAAAAACAGGUUUUUAAGGAUAGUUAUUAAAUUUGCGACUUAAUAAUGAAAUUAGCAAAAUAAUAUUAGUUGUUUUUGUUAUUUUUAGCUAAUAUUAUUAUCAAAAUAACAUAAACUGUAGAAGUGUUAAGUGAUUUUACAUGUGGACACGGGUUCGACUCCCGUUAUCUCCACCA
This 364-nucleotide transfer-messenger RNA is filed under the name Mycoplasmopsis canis. Its description in RNAcentral is "Mycoplasma canis transfer-messenger RNA, SsrA". It matches the Rfam family "transfer-messenger RNA". Rfam says of the family: Bacterial tmRNA, also known as 10Sa RNA or SsrA, is named for its dual tRNA and mRNA-like properties. Its role is to liberate the mRNA from a stalled ribosome. The record is from RNAcentral. RNAcentral also lists the same sequence under 3 other names. Lineage: Bacteria; Bacillati; Mycoplasmatota; Mycoplasmoidales; Metamycoplasmataceae.